CAGGUGGCCGGCAGCAAUUGACAGGUGGCCGGCAGCAGUCGGGGUCUGAUUGAGGCAGCCAGGGAUGGGGGUAGCAUUGGCCCCUCCUCACUCUCCUCCUCUCUAAAGCCGCUGAAUCUUCUGACUAUGAGAAGCAGCUGAUACAUCCAGAAUCCUCUACAACCAGUCCCUCCCCUCUCCUCCCUAGAAGCCUCCAUCCCCAGAGCUGCCAAGGAGUGAGCUGGUGACUCACCCAGCCACCCCCCACCCCACCCCCCCGUGUCAGAGCGCCCACCCCUGCACACACCCCUGGUGGGGGAGACACUUGAGAACCACAGCUCUGCCUCUUCCUCACUGCAGCCUUGCAGGCAAAGGCAACAAAACCAGCAAACGGCCAAAAUAACUCUCCCUGGGAGCUGCACAGACAAGUUAUGGGGCACCCAGGCCAUGGAGACGAGACUAAGGCAGCGCUGCAGGUGCUCUUAGGGAAAGAAGUCCCAGAGAUAUGAUGGAGCAGACAGCGAGAUUAAGAAGAUCUUCAAAUCAGGGGUGCAGCUCAUCAAUGCUCCUGGCCGUCGCCAUCGUUGCUGACACAGGCACAGACGGCGUUGUUCCUGCUCAUGUAACUGGAUGGCUGUGGCCCCUCUGUGUUUUAAUCAAAAACCGUGGAAGCACCUUAUUGAAAAACUUUCCUUGACAUCAGCUGAUAAAAUCAAGAAGGCACCAGAAUCAAAACUCAAAGUAAUUGUCAGUGGCUCGGAAGAAAAUCGCAGAGAUGUUAUCAGGGUUCCCUUUUAAGAAAUGCUGCCUCAACAUCCCGGCACAAAGAAUGACACUGUGAGAGCCACGCAGGUGCCGAUGACUCAGAGCUGGGAAGGGGCUGGCUCCUAAGAAUACCUUAGCUCGUUUAUUUCACUUACAGCUUUCUUUUCACAUGUGCAAAACAGAAUCAUGUAGUAAAAUCCAUGUCUAAAUAAGUCUAGAUGAAUGUUCUCAACACAUACAAAUAUUCUAAGGUAAAGAAAUCCCUGGGUCAUAGUUUAUUGGCAGUGUUUUUCUUUCUUGUAUGUGGAAUAAACCUGUUUAUAAGUGA
This is a long non-coding RNA of Lemur catta (Ring-tailed lemur), 1072 nucleotides long. RefSeq lists it as uncharacterized. The record is from RefSeq and is a predicted model, not a curated record. The transcript has 2 exons. NCBI's taxonomy places the organism in Eukaryota, Metazoa, Chordata, Mammalia, Primates, Lemuridae.